GCCUUAAUAGCUUAAUGUAAAGCAUUGGUCUUGUAAACCAAAGAUUGAGGAUUAAAUCUUCUUAAGGCU
Molecule: transfer RNA, 69 nt
Filed under: Allobates nunciatus
Lineage: Eukaryota; Metazoa; Chordata; Amphibia; Anura; Aromobatidae
Description: tRNA-Thr
Rfam family: tRNA
About the family: Transfer RNA (tRNA) molecules are approximately 80 nucleotides in length. Their secondary structure includes four short double-helical elements and three loops (D, anti-codon, and T loops). Further hydrogen bonds mediate the characteristic L-shaped molecular structure. tRNAs have two regions of fundamental functional importance: the anti-codon, which is responsible for specific mRNA codon recognition, and the 3' end, to which the tRNAs corresponding amino acid is attached (by aminoacyl-tRNA synthetases). tRNAs cope with the degeneracy of the genetic code in two manners: having more than one tRNA (with a specific anti-codon) for a particular amino acid; and 'wobble' base-pairing, i.e. permitting non-standard base-pairing at the 3rd anti-codon position.
Source: RNAcentral